This is a long non-coding RNA of Pseudonaja textilis, 439 nucleotides long. RefSeq lists it as uncharacterized. NCBI's taxonomy places the organism in Eukaryota, Metazoa, Chordata, Lepidosauria, Squamata, Elapidae. The record is from RefSeq and is a predicted model, not a curated record.
AGCUGCUCAGUCCCACUUCACCCAAUUUAGAAUCUCCUGCCUCUUGAACUGGUUGCUCUGAGCUUCAGCCAUGAAGGCUUUUCUCCUCCUAGUUGCCAUCUUCUUGUUUUCCCACCAGGCAGUCACAGCAAUUGGCGAAAGAGACCCUGCUGAUGUUGCUUGUUUCAAAAGUGGUGGCUCCUGUAGACCAGUAUGUCCUUUCCCUGCUGAACAAUCAGGAACAUGUGCUGGUGAUCUGAUUUGCUGUCAAUGGCCUCACCAACAUCCCGUAUAAAAUAUCAGGAAAACUCUGAAGAGUCUGAAGAAGAUAUUGAAACAUGGUGGCUGGAAGGUGUGCAAACAGUUCCCCUGAGAUAAAAAUAUUUUGAUUGAAUAUAUAAUCUGGAAAAAGAUAACUGUUUAACCUGUUGAUCUAUAUAUUAAAGUUCUAUAAUAGCAA